GCUUUCUGCGCUUCCUAGUGGCAAAAUAUAAUAAUUUCUCUCUCCAUUGUCAUGUGACCCGGUCACGUGACAUCUACAGGAAGUAGUGCUUUCCAGCCUCACGUCUGUCAACAAUCCGUUCCUGGUCUCAUCUUUGGUCCUGCGGUCGCAUCGUCUGGAUACAGCACCUUUGUGCUGAGCUGCAGUGUAGGGACAGUAACAAAAAGGGAAUGAAGGAUCUCUUCAAGGCCAUGGGGACAGGAGGAACAAUUGCAGCAGCUGAUAACUGUUUCAAAAUACAUAUGGGCAUAACAAAACCAGCGACCCUCUCCCCCUCCCCUCUUCGAUCCUGA
RNAcentral lists this long non-coding RNA (332 nucleotides) under Cottoperca gobio. Its description in RNAcentral is "lncRNA (ENSCGOG00000022559.1)". The record is from RNAcentral. Lineage: Eukaryota; Metazoa; Chordata; Actinopteri; Perciformes; Bovichtidae.